CUCUCGGCAACGGAUAUCUCGGCUCUCGCAUCGAUGAAGAACGUAGCGAAAUGCGAUACUUGGUGUGAAUUGCAGAAUCCCGUGAACCAUCGAGUCUUUGAACGCAAGUUGCGCCCGAAGCCAUUAGGUUGAGGGCACGUCUGCCUGGGCGUCACGCAUCGCGU
RNAcentral lists this ribosomal RNA (164 nucleotides) under Heptapleurum heptaphyllum. RNAcentral describes it as "Schefflera heptaphylla 5.8S ribosomal RNA". It matches the Rfam family "5.8S ribosomal RNA". From Rfam's summary of the family: 5.8S ribosomal RNA (5.8S rRNA) is a component of the large subunit of the eukaryotic ribosome. It is transcribed by RNA polymerase I as part of the 45S precursor that also contains 18S and 28S rRNA. Functionally, it is thought that 5.8S rRNA may be involved in ribosome translocation. Lineage: Eukaryota; Viridiplantae; Streptophyta; Magnoliopsida; Apiales; Araliaceae. The record is from RNAcentral.